AGCAGCCGCGGUAAUUCCAGCUCCAAUAGCGUAUAUUAAAGUUGUUGCAGUUAAAAAGCUCGUAGUUGAAUUUCGGGGUUAGUAGGUUGGUCAUGCCUCUGGUAUGUACUGGUCUCACUGAUUCCUCCUUCCUGAUGAACCGUAAUGCCAUUAAUUUGGUGUUGCGGGGAUCAGGACUGUUACUUUGAAAAAUUAGAGUGUUUAAAGCAGGCAAGCGCUUGAAUACAUUAGCAUGGAAUAAUGAAGUAGGACGUUCGAUCCUAUUUUGUUGGUUUCUAGGAUUGACGUAAUGAUUAAUAGGGAUAGUUGGGGGCAUUAGUAUUCAAUUGUCAGAGGUGAAAUUCUUGGAUUUAUUGAAGACUAACUACUGCGAAAGCAUUUGCCAAGGAUGUUUUCAUCAAUCAAGAACGAAAGUUAGGGGAUCGAAGACGAUCAGAUACCGUCGUAGUCUUAACC
RNAcentral lists this small RNA (456 nucleotides) under uncultured Glomus. RNAcentral describes it as "SSU rRNA". It matches the Rfam family "Eukaryotic small subunit ribosomal RNA", at positions 569 to 1031 of the family's 1831-position model. Lineage: Eukaryota; Fungi; Glomeromycota; Glomeromycetes; Glomerales; Glomeraceae. The record is from RNAcentral.